Molecule: long non-coding RNA, 7279 nt
Filed under: Xyrichtys novacula (pearly razorfish)
Lineage: Eukaryota; Metazoa; Chordata; Actinopteri; Labriformes; Labridae
Source: RNAcentral
CAACCUCCGGUUGGGUCACUUAUUUAACCUGAAAGUGCAAACACGUCUGGAAAGAUUUAUAUCCUGUUUCCUGGGACCAGAUAAGGAAACUUUCCUGUAAGGAAUGUGUGGGUUUCACAUCCAGGGUUGUCUUGAUUGCUACAGUCCCCCCUUCGUCACGGUGGUCCUGUCCAUGGAGCAUCGGGACGACGAGUAGACAACCAUGAAGCAGCAGCAGGUGUAUGCAAAUAGGACUGAUGCGUCUCGUCAUCACUAUGUGAAUCACUAGUACUGCUUUGAGAUAAAAUUAAGCAUGCAUUAAGCUAUCAAAUAAAAUAGUCUUGUUGUUAGACUUUUCUCAGUUAACUAUUGGUAGACUAAUGUGAAAGAAAAUCUCCUAAUUUUCAGUAUUAAUGAGAUUUAGGAAAGCACUAUUUAGUCUGAAUGCUAACUGGAUCUAAAGAUAUAGCUGUUUUCCAUGCUUGCUGGAGAAGUCUGAAAGUUCAAUUUCAGUUUCAAAAAUGGUUAAGACUUAGGUGGAAAAGAAAUGUCUGCUAUAGACAUAUUAACCAUCUGUGUAUGAGCAUAGUCAACCUGAAUCAAAAACAUCAAAAGUUUACUGCACAGAGUUUCUCUUAAACUUUGUCUGUUAAACUUGGGGAUGAUGCUCUUACCGGUUUGACUAAUUAUCUGCUGUUGAGUCUGAAAUUUGUCAAUCUGAGUCUUAAUGACAGAAAUUUCAGCUUUUAAUCUGUUGAUGAGAUAUUCGACAGCUGACAAGCUGACCAUAUUGACAGAGGAGAGACAAAUGCUAACAAAGAAAGCAGCAACUGGGGUUGCAGUCAUCAAUGUAUCACCACAGCAUUUGGAUAUCUUAUUGGAGUCAUUUAGCUUUGGCUGGGUGACUUCUGCUUUCGCAGGACUCACACCUUCAUGACUCCGCAGUGUUAAUCUCAGUGGUUAGCUGAGUAGUCAUGUUUAUUCACCUUCAAAGUGGAUGAAACCGAUUGAGGUGGAUAAUAAGAUCGUCGUUUCUGAGAGUGUGAUUUACUCUGAUUCUGCCAGUCAUUCACCCCCUUUGGCGGUGUUGAUGGUUUUUCCUUUGUCUGGGAUAAAACCCACCAUGACUGGAGUCUGAAUAACAACAGUUGGUCUCAAAGUUUACCUGGCAUUGGUCUGUGUCAGACCUGGGCCUUGGUGUGUAACUUUGACCUUUGUGAGUUUGUUGAGGUCGAAAAGGUUUUGGAGGCCUGGUUAACCACUCAUUUGGAGGCUUAUCGGAGCCUGAAAAUACACAAUCUGAAGCUUCGUUCAGCUCCAUGGGCAGUGAUUUUGUCUCCAUAGCCAACAGAGUAACAGGCUCUGCUUUCUUAGCCAAAGUUUGUCGUUGUUUGGCAAAACCUUUUACAGCAAGUUCACGAAGCUGUCGGCUAGUCAAAGUGUUUGGACAAGCUAAGACGCCAAGGUGAUGACUGGUGGUAGGGUGGAGGUUCUGGACGAACAGCGUUUUGAAGUUCAAGUCCUCCUCCAUUUCUGGUUCAUUUCGGAAACCAAAGUAAGCUUCGCGUAAGCGGUUGUAAUAAUGUUGGGGAGGUUCUGAUCUCCCUUGUUUAAUAGACAGAGCAGCAGAAAGGCCUGUCUGGGUCAAAUGAUCAGAAAACUCUUCAAUUAAUGCUUGGCAGAGCAAGUCAUAAUUAUUUCUGACAUGAUAAGGCUGUCGUUCAAGGAAACUGCUAACCUCUCGACUUGACGUUGCCUUAAUAAGGUAGAUCUUGUCAUCAAUGGUUGCACCUGGAAAUUUCCUCAGGUAAAAGUCAAUGUCUUUCAAGUAGGUGCAGGUGUCAGUAGCACCUUGGUGCUCAGGUUCAAAGCGUGCUAUGUUGCGAGCAAUUUUGUCAAGAUCCCUAUCUGAGGGAGAUGGUAAGAAGCCAUCAUGAGGAGGAGAGUAGGACUGUUGGUUUAAGGAUGACCUCUCAGGGUCAAGCAGGGUCCUGUCAUGAUGCUGAGAGAGAUACUUAAGAGUUGGUUUGGAAGGAAGUGAUGGCGCUCUCUCAGGAGGCUGAUCACCUAUCAUUUCUUCAAGAAACGUUUGCUCCAUGCGUUCUCUUUGGGCUCGACCUGACUGGAGGGAGCAUUGUAACUCUCUUUGGGCAUCUUCAAGUCCUUUGUCUGUCUUUUCUUGCCGUUCUUGACAAAGAAUUAACUGUCUUUGAGCUAUCUGGAGCUGGUGCUGUAAGGUAGAAGUUUGCUUCUCCUUAACUUCAAGAGCUUCAGCACGCACUUUGACCAGUGCUUUCAAAGCUUUUACAUCUUCUGUUGCUUGCUCUAGCAGGGAUUCUGACUGUAUCAGAUCCUCUGUGGUCUUAGCAAGAUGCUUAUUGGCUUUGUCAAGUUCUUUCUCUUUUUGGUUAAGAGUUUUAUCAAGUCUUUCAAUCUUGUCUUUGAGAUCAAGAUUUUCUUCAUGACUUAUCAGUGAGGGAAGCUUUGACGCUUCACAUCUGGCACUGUGUUUUUCUAAAACAUUUAGAGACUUCUUAGUCUCUUCUAGCGUCUUUUUCAGAGCGCUGUUUUCUUCUUUUUGCGUCUUUAUCUUUGUUAAAGCGCAUUCCAGCAAGUAGUCUUUAUACUCAAGCUGAGAAGACAUCACGACAGACAUGCGUCUAGUGAGCUCUUUGUCACGAAGUGUCGUGGUUAAGGCUGUUUCCAGUAGGUCAGCCAUUUCAUCCUCCGGAUUGGAGGGUUUGGCCUUUUGAAUCUUAGUCAUGUACUGAGGUAUCAGCUGACCAGUCAAGUUUGCCAACACUGUGUGUAUGUCCCUCAGGGGGUCUCCCUGGCUGGACUCUUUUGUGUUAGGCAUGUUUGGUUUUGGUAAAGAGGUGCAGGUGGUUGGUUGAUGAGUUUGAGUUGACUUAAAAUGAAAGGAAGAAGCAAAAUAUCAAAUUAAGUGGGUUAAUCGACUUAAUUUAUCAGUGCUUGAUAAAGAGGAAGAGCCUAUCUGAGUAGAUCUCUAAUGGAGAGAAAAAUAACAUAAAGUUAAAUUCAUUUCAAUCAAAAUUGAAAAACAAUGAAAUGAUGUUAAAUUAAAUUUAACAUCAGAUACAGAACCAUUGAAUAAAGGGUUCAGUUUGUCUCCGUGUUGCAGAGAUCAGCAAAGCUUAAAUAAACUGCCUGGUGCAGUUGGAUGAAUUGGGAAAAAUCGAUGAAAUUGUCAAUUUAAGGAAUUAACUCUGAAAUUAAUUCACCAAUCGCAAUAAAGCUAAAGAUUCAACUACCCAAUUCAUCUGAAAUGGUAAAAUAAAUUUCAAAUAUUAAUUAAUUUGUUCAUUAAUUAAUUAAUCUUAUGAGGAGGGUUAAUACAUUCAUGUAUUAUAGGGAACAGUAAAACUGCUCACUGGUGUGAUAAGUAACAACAAGAUCAGGUGAUCGAUUCAAUGAGUUACUUUAUCAAUACAUCAUGGAGGCUCUUAUAACAAAGAUAAAAAUCAAAAUCAAUGAUCAAUGAUUUAGAAUAAGCACAUCAAACUUCAUCAACCAAGUCAAUCACUUGAAUUAUGUCUGUAGAGUGUUACACACUGACUACAGGGAGGCAGUACAGCUGGCUGAUACUGCAGGCAGAUAACAUUGUUAGCUCAAUACCAAAAGCAACCAUGUGGGGCAGUAUGGAGUUGGGGUAACUGCACAAGCUCAACACAAGUGGAGAAGAAGAAGAAAAGAGGAAACAGUCAUCCAACUAGCCUCUUGUGGCUAUGAGGAGUUGGGAAGUAUGCAGGAAGGGGCCUUUAGGCUCUGCCUCCUGAAGGGCCUUAUCUGCUUAAGGCCAAAUGGUCAGUCUCUCCACUGACAACAAAGGGUUAACAUUUCACAGCAGGCUGCAUCUGCACCCUCAAACAUAGAACUCUACACCAUCUGCUCAGGAAGAUUGGUUCAAUAAAAUCAUUUACAGGAACAAGAAUCAAAGUGACAAAUCCCUCAACAGCAGAUUCAACUGCAGACUUUAAAAUCACAAAUGCGGCGAUUCGUGAUCACGGAUUUUGUCUGAAUUCAUUCAAACAACAACCUCCCACUGUUACAGUGGUUUCCUGUGACAGAUAGCUUAUCUGUCAGGGGAAAGGAGGAAAUCUAAAUCCCAUAUAGUUACUAGAACUUCAUAGCAGACUAUAGAGACAACAAUCAAAGUGACAAAUCCCUCAACAGCAGAUUCAACUGCAGACUUUUUAAAAAAUCACAAAUGCGGCGAUUUGUGAACACAAAUUUUGUCUGAAUUCAAUCAAACAACAACCUCCCACUGUUACAGUGGUUUCCUGUGACAGGUAGCUAAUCUGUCAGGGGAAAGGAGGAAAUCUGAAUCCCAUAUAGUUACUAGAACCUCAUAGCAGACUACAGAGACUUCAGGGGCUUGAAACCACAGCUCGGAGCAUCGCGAACACUGGGUUCAGCCAAAGGCCUUAAAUACAAGCGUACGGCGACGCAACAAUCGUGCACUUAAAUAUUGGACAGUCUAGACAGAGCAGAGGAGUCAGUCUCACUGCUACUCAGAACAACAUUUCACGCUGUCCAGCUCAAACACAGACUACAGGCAUGUAGUACAAGAGUGUGUGAAACACAGAGCAUAAAGGUUUUAUGCAUAGAUCAGGAAAACAUCAGAACUUCGUCAAGCAACUUCAGCAAGCAUAGCAUUGAUUGUGAUUAAGUCUAAAAUAGCCUGGAAAUAAGUUUCUCUCAUCAAUUUGGAAGGCUAAGUUUUAGGUUGUCUGUUAGUAUCCAGAAGUUUUGUUUGAAACGCCUCACGCAGGGGCUCCAAAAUAUAUGUAGUGAUUUGAAAUGAGCCUCAUACGGUCGCACCAAAAUAUAUGUAGCGAUUUGAAAUGAGCCUCACAAGGCCGCACCAAAAUAAUACUUGGCGAUUGGAAUUUAUAAUAAAUGUCUGAAGAUUAAUAAUCUCAAAUUAUGACAUUUAUGCACUCGUUGAAAGGGGCACCACCCACCCUUAAUGGUGGGAAAAUAAAGAAAACAAAAGUUUAAUUCAGAAAUCAAACAUCAAGUCAGUUUUAAUUAAUCAGUCUUAAUUAAUCAGUCUUAAUUAAUCAGUCUCAUAUCUUAAGUCGAAAUUCUAAUUUCAGGGACUCCACUUCUGGAAGAACACUAACAGACCAGAACUUAGAAAAAUAAUUAUCUGUUUAUUACAGGAUAAAUGAUGGUACAACACACAUGCAAUAAAUGAUGAUAAGAUAAUGAAGAUAAAUAAUAAUAGGUGAAUAAAUCAAGAUUCUGAGUCAGGCUAGGAGCACUAAAGUUAAUGAUAGUGAGUGAAUAUGCGCUAACAUAUUAACCUACACUAACUUUAGUGUCGAGAUAAACUCGGAUGUGGAUUUGGAGGAAUCUAAGAUUACCAGAAUAAGAGGAUAUCUGAGUUGAACGCAGGAGACAGCACCAGCCCUCUUUAGAGCUCUGGAGGUUUGCAUACUUAAGUGAGACUGGUCCUUGGAGAAGAUGGAGCAGGUUCCGAAGGUCCGGGCUACUGGCGGUUCGAGCGGUUCAGCUCAGAAGACGACUGAAGUCAGCCGAAGGAUGAGCCAGGAGUUGCAGCACUCAGGCCCGAAGCAAAAACCAGCGCCUGUGGAUCCUGUGGAUGCUCGUUUGGGUACUUCUUUAGUCUCACUCAAAAACUCUGGCACAGAGGAUGACCUGGGCCUGUUGGAUUGCGUUCGGAGGUGACUUUGAAAUCACGCAGAAAACUCAGAAAAACGAGGCUCGAAGAGCAGAGAAAACUUUCAAAAAUGGCUUCGCGUAAUUAAAGAAAAUCAAUCAAAGGCUUAAUCUUGAAUUGCUAUGUGCACAAAAAGUUGAAGUUUCAAAACUUGAACUAAGACGAUGUUAAAGAAAAAUCAACGUGAAUCAACACGUGGCGUAAAACUUAGAAGACUAAGAAAAAGUUCUAAGAGAAAAUAAAGAAACGCACCACAGAAGGGUGUGGGCAGAAGAGAAGGGGCAUAAGAGCCGGGGACAAGAGAGUCAGCAGAAGAGCAGAAGUAUAAGAGAGAUAAGAGAGUGAGCAACCCCACUCCACUGGUUUUAUCUUCUCACACUGGGAGUGUCUGAGGAGAAAGAGGAGGGGGUCAUCGGGUCUCUGAUUAUUUGAUCUAACUUAUUCUUUUGGCUGGUAAAAGAGUCAGAUCUGAUACUCACUCACUAUGAUUAAUAUCAUUGAAUGCUUGGUUUCAUGAUAAAUAAUUUGAUACUAAACACAUAUGAAUGAAGUGUAGGAUCACAUCAAACAUUCUCAUUAUGUUUUAAGUAUCACAUUGAACAUGCUAAAUUACUCUGAAAUGAAACAGAUAGUAACACAUGAAAACUGUGAACAACAAAAGAGUAAACACAUGUGAAUGAACGUCAUCGUGAUUAAUAAUGGAUUCUAAAUACUCACAUUCAGAUUAUUCAGUGACAUUAUAACCACCUAAUGGUUAAGAUACUAAAUAAAUAACUAAAAUAUAAACCAAACAUUUCUAAACUAUUUCUGUUACUUAGAGUAAACUUAGGAUUCAUAGUCAAUAAAUUUAACUCUUAAAAGUUCAUGAAACAGUCUGAAAAGCUGUUGGUCUAAAGAACUAAAGAAUAAGGAUUUAUUCUGUCAGAUAAGAUAACUUGGCUUCUGAAGCACAUAGAAAAACGGGAAACAUCUCAUUUUAACACAAAUUUCAUGAUUAGACAGAUUAGUACAUUGCUGAAUGCAUAAGAUGUCAUGAUCAGUCAUUUGUAUUCUUUCACCAAAGGAAUGCAGUCUUUAUCAGUGUAUGGUCGAGCAGGGUUUUACGACCGAGGUCUGGAGGUCAGUGUCCCCCCUUAUCCUGGGGUCCGUAUGUUCACACACUUUAAGACGCUAAAUCUCAAAUGGGAGAUCUGGGUUGAGACGUUAAUGUUUAUUUAGAUGGUCAGUAAUGGAGUCAGUUUGAAAGGUAAUAAAAACUCUGUCUCUGUUCGCCGAACUGACCAAUCCUGAAGAGUCAGAGGUUUAGUCAACCUCCGGUUGGGUCACUUAUUUAACCUGAAAGUGCAAACACGUCUGGAAAGAUUUAUAUCCUGUUUCCUGGGACCAGAUAAGGAAACUUUCCUGUAAGGAAUGUGUGGGUUUCACAUCCAGGGUUGUCUUGAUUGCUACAGUCCCCCCUUCGUCACGGUGGUCCUGUCCAUGGAGCAUCGGGACGACGAGUAGACAACCAUGAAGCAGCAGCAGGUGUAUGCAAAUAGGACUGAUGCGUCUCGUCAUCACUAUGUGAAUCACUAGUACUGCUUUGAGAUAAAA